GGGGAAUAUUGGGCAAUGGACGCAAGUCUGACCCAGCAACGCCGCGUGAAGGAAGAAGGCUUUCGGGUUGUAAACUUCUUUUAAGGGGGAAGAGUAGAAGACGGUACCCCUUGAAUAAGCCACGGCUAACUACGUGCCAGCAGCCGCGGUAAUACGUAGGUGGCAAGCGUUGUCCGGAUUUACUGGGUGUAAAGGGCGUGUAGCCGGGAAGGUAAGUCAGAUGUGAAAUCUGGGGGCUCAACCUCCAAACUGCAUUUGAAACUACUUUUCUUGAGUAUCGGAGAGGUAAUCGGAAUUCCUUGUGUAGCGGUGAAAUGCGUAGAUAUAAGGAAGAACACCAGUGGCGAAGGCGGAUUACUGGACGACAACUGACGGUGAGGCGCGAAAGCGUGGGGAGCAAACA
This 403-nucleotide ribosomal RNA is filed under the name uncultured Oscillibacter sp. RNAcentral describes it as "bacterial SSU rRNA". It matches the Rfam family "Bacterial small subunit ribosomal RNA", at positions 356 to 774 of the family's 1533-position model. Lineage: Bacteria; Bacillati; Bacillota; Clostridia; Eubacteriales; Oscillospiraceae. The record is from RNAcentral.